CGAAUUCCAAGCUUCGCGGCCUAUCAGCUUGUUGGUGGGGUAAUGGCCUACCAAGGCUUCGACGGGUAGCCGGCCUGAGAGGGUGACCGGCCACACUGGGACUGAGACACGGCCCAGACUCCUACGGGAGGCAGCAGUGGGGAAUAUUGGACAAUGGGCGGAAGCCUGAUCCAGCAACGCCGCGUGAGGGAUGACGGCCUUCGGGUUGUAAACCUCUUUCAGUACCGACGAAGCGCCGGUAAUGGUGGUGACGGUAGGUACAGAAGAAGCACCGGCCAACUACGUGCCAGCAGCCGCGGUAAUACGUAGGGUGCGAGCGUUGUCCGGAAUUAUUGGGCGUAAAGGGCUCGUAGGCGGUUUGUCGCGUCGGGAGUGAAAACACCGGGCUUAACUCGGUGCUUGCUUUCGAUACGGGCAGACUAGAGGCAUGCAGGGGAGAACGGAAUUCCUGGUGUAGCGGUGAAAUGCGCAGAUAUCAGGAGGAACACCGGCGGCGAAGGCGGUUCUCUGGGCAUGUCCUGACGCUGAGGAGCGAAAGUGUGGGGAGCGAACAGGAUUAGAUACCCUGGUAGUCCACACCGUAAACGUUGGGCGCUAGGUGUGGGGCCUAUUCCAUGGGUUCCGUGCCGCAGCUAACGCAUUAAGCGCCCCGCCUGGGGAG
This 661-nucleotide ribosomal RNA is filed under the name uncultured Nocardioides sp. RNAcentral's name for it is "bacterial SSU rRNA". It matches the Rfam family "Bacterial small subunit ribosomal RNA", at positions 218 to 880 of the family's 1533-position model. Lineage: Bacteria; Bacillati; Actinomycetota; Actinomycetes; Propionibacteriales; Nocardioidaceae. The record is from RNAcentral.